CCUACGGGAGGCAGCAGUGGGGAAUAUUGCACAAUGGGGGAAACCCUGAUGCAGCGACGCCGCGUGAGUGAAGAAGUAUUUCGGUAUGUAAAGCUCUAUCAGCAGGGAAGAAAAUGACGGUACCUGAUUAAGAAGCCCCGGCUAACUACGUGCCAGCAGGCGCGGUAAAACGUAGGGGGCAAGCGUUAUCCGGAUUUACUGGGUGUAAAGGGAGCGUAGACGGCAGCACAAGUCUGGAGUGAAAUGCCGCGGCUUAACCCCGGAACUGCUUUGGAAACUGUGCAGCUAGAGUGCAGGAGAGGUGAGUGGAACUCCUGGUGUAGCGGUGAAAUGCGUAGAUAUUAGGAGGAACACCAGUGGCGAAGGCGGCUUACUGGACUGUAACUGACGUUGAGGCUCGAAAGCGUGGGGAGCAAACAGGAUUAGAUACCCUUGUAGUC
This 440-nucleotide ribosomal RNA is filed under the name uncultured bacterium. RNAcentral describes it as "partial 16S ribosomal RNA". It matches the Rfam family "Bacterial small subunit ribosomal RNA", at positions 338 to 795 of the family's 1533-position model. The record is from RNAcentral.